Molecule: ribosomal RNA, 468 nt
Filed under: uncultured bacterium
Lineage: Bacteria
Description: partial 16S ribosomal RNA
Rfam family: Bacterial small subunit ribosomal RNA
Source: RNAcentral
GAAGAAAGAGGGAGGCGUGCUUAACACAUGCAAGUCGAACGGAAAGGCCCUGCUUUUGUGGGGUGCUCGAGUGGCGAACGGGUGAGUAACACGUGAGUAACCUGCCCUUGACUUUGGGAUAACUUCAGGAAACUGGGGCUAAUACCGGAUAGGAGCUCCUGCUGCAUGGUGGGGGUUGGAAAGUUUCGGCGGUUGGGGAUGGACUCGCGGCUUAUCAGCUUGUUGGUGGGGUAGUGGCUUACCAAGGCUUUGACGGGUAGCCGGCCUGAGAGGGUGACCGGCCACAUUGGGACUGAGAUACGGCACAGACUCCUACGGGAGGCAGCAGUGGGGAAUAUUGCACAAUGGGCGGAAGCCUGAUGCAGCAACGCCGCGUGCGGGAUGACGGCCUUCGGGUUGUAAACCGCUUUCGCCUGUGACGAAGCGUGAGUGACGGUAAUGGGUAAAGAAGCACCGGCUAACUACGUG